Molecule: long non-coding RNA, 919 nt
Organism: Pocillopora damicornis (cauliflower coral)
Lineage: Eukaryota; Metazoa; Cnidaria; Anthozoa; Scleractinia; Pocilloporidae
Source: RefSeq, a predicted model, not a curated record
UUAGGAAUAUAGCUAUGUGGUGGGCAGGGGUAGUUAACGUAUAUACAUGUCAAAAAAACAACCGUUUUGUGGUUUGAUUGAAUUCUUUUGUUAACAUCAUGAACGAUAUUCCAUGAAAGGAACUUGAGGCGGAAAAGGGCUGGAGCUAACGGAGUUCAGUCCAAGCUAAAUUCUGUGAACAAAGCAAGGCCCUGUGGAUAACAUCCUGAUGCGCAGAUUAAGUUGAGAACCCAAGAGUUUAUUUCUUAUUUGCGCCUGGUUUUGCCGUCUCCCUGCGAGUAGCACAGAAGGGUUCCAUUUCACAAAGAUUUAAUCAAAUAGGAGGAUACAAUCGAUAAAGGAACAUCGCAGACACUCGGCAGAGUAAAUAACGCCUCUCAGUGCUUCACUGCGCAGUGGCAGCAAGUUCAAGUUGUCCUCCGGUCAUUGACAGUCGAUGGUAGUUUGUUCCCAUUCCGCACUCUGUUAUCAACUUCUGGGCCUGGAAACAGUAAAGAAAAGAGAAGAAAAGUGUUAAUGUGAAAGCAAAGGCCGUCUUAAGGAUCCACCAACUAGCCUGUGGAGUUCAACAGGAAACGCUUGAGUAAUGAGACGGGUAUUUGUUUUUGGAAGGAGUGCUUCUCCUUCGCAGUCAGCCUCAGACCACAAAAAAUAGCAAUUCUGGCCGAUUUCUCAGUCGGUUGCCAUAAUUACUCAUAAUACUUACGUCUAUUGGUCAGCUUGUGUGAGUUAUACAAGUUGUUGGUACCCUAAAUGAACAAUUUUUAAGUGUGUGCUAAAGGUAUUUGAGAAUUGUAUCGUUUUGCUCUACCCCAACUCAUGAUUGAAAAAUUGCGCCACCCUCUCGACCAAUCAGAUGUAAAACUAAAAGCAAUUGAAAAUUUGUGUUAAAAGUUAUGCUAGCCCGCGCUUCAGACAG